UCUCACAGCUGUUCUCACAGAGCCCUUGUCCCUGGUACACAGCUGUGCCAUAUCAGAGCAUAGCUUGAAUGCUGGCAGCUGAAGUCUAGGGGGUGGGUGGAUGACACUGAUAAAGAUUUUAUAGGAGAGGAAGGUUGCAGGCUGCUCAAGGUAUUUGCAACCUAUUUGUUUUCUUAAAGUUUUGAUCCUGAAAUUAUAUUUACUAUUUUGAGUUGGGGUAGUGAGGCAUUCUGGGUUUUAGAUGUUCUAGCUAUGCAGACAACCUUUCUGAAAAGCAUAUGUUUCUUUUGGUGGCAAGGCUGUUGAAAAUUGUUUCCUUGCCAGCAUGAAUCCUGCAGAUUCCAGGAUAGUCUUUCUCUUGAACAUUCUACGUGAAGUAGGAUGGAAUAUUUAAUAGGACAAAGGGUGCAUCUCCUAAGAUAAAGACUCAGACUUCCCUUUGGACCAGAUGUUGGUUAAGUGCUCACCUGUCACAUAACAGCUAGCAUGUACUACAGUGGAUAGCAUUAACAGAG
This is a long non-coding RNA of Pezoporus occidentalis (night parrot), 515 nucleotides long. RefSeq lists it as uncharacterized. The transcript has 3 exons. Lineage: Eukaryota; Metazoa; Chordata; Aves; Psittaciformes; Psittacidae. The record is from RefSeq and is a predicted model, not a curated record.